Molecule: ribosomal RNA, 413 nt
Filed under: uncultured Anaerolineaceae bacterium
Lineage: Bacteria; Bacillati; Chloroflexota; Anaerolineae; Anaerolineales; Anaerolineaceae
Description: bacterial SSU rRNA
Rfam family: Bacterial small subunit ribosomal RNA
Source: RNAcentral
CGCGUGUACGAUGAAGGCCUUCGGGUCGUAAAGUACUUUCCAGGGAGAUGAGAAAGGACAGUACCCCUGGAAUAAGUCUCGGCUAACUACGUGCCAGCAGCCGCGGUAAAACGUAGGAGGCGAGCGUUAUCCGGAUUUACUGGGUGUAAAGCGCGUGCAGGCGGUUUGAUAAGUUGGAUGUGAAAGCUCCUGGCUCAACUGGGAGAGGUCGUUCAAAACUAUCAGACUAGAGAGUGGUAGAGGAAAGUGGAAUUCCCGGUGUAGUGGUGAAAUGCGUAGAUAUCGGGAGGAACACCAGUGGCGAAGGCGGCUUUCUGGACCAUUUCUGACGCUCAGACGCGAAAGCUAGGGUAGCAAACGGGAUUAGAGACCCCGGUAGUCCUAGCAGUAAACGAUGUGAACUUGGCGUUGGU